ACUACGGGAGGCAGCAGUGAGGAAUAUUGGUCAAUGGGCGUAAGCCUGAACCAGCCAAGUCGCGUGAGGGAUGAAGGUUCUAUGGAUCGUAAACCUCUUUUAUAAGGGAAUAAAGUGCGGGACGUGUCCCGUUUUGUAUGUACCUUAUGAAUAAGGAUCGGCUAACUCCGUGCCAGCAGCCGCGGUAAUACGGAGGAUCCGAGCGUUAUCCGGAUUUAUUGGGUUUAAAGGGUGCGUAGGCGGCCUUUUAAGUCAGCGGUGAAAGUCUGUGGCUCAACCAUAGCAUGGCGGUUGAAACUGGGCGGCUGGAGUAUGUUGGAGGCAGGCGGAAUGGGUGGUGUAGCGGGGAA
RNAcentral lists this ribosomal RNA (350 nucleotides) under uncultured bacterium. RNAcentral describes it as "partial 16S ribosomal RNA". It matches the Rfam family "Bacterial small subunit ribosomal RNA", at positions 338 to 685 of the family's 1533-position model. The record is from RNAcentral.